GGCGAAGUGGCUUAGGUGUGGAGAGCUAGCUGUGGAUGGCCAGGUCAGAGGCGGCCUCUGAAGAGCUGCCCAAGCAGAAAGCUGCAGCUUGGUAAACAAGGGUGAUCCCUGAGGCAGGGCUAGGGCUCUGCGUGGGCACAGGGUGGGAAGGAGAGGAGGAGGGAGGAAGUCUUCUGUAACCGGUCCUCAGGAGCAGGGGCAGUUGAUGGCUAUUUUUACCCUCACAGGGGAUAAGCCUCCCUGAGGCUACAGAAGCAAAGCCCAGAGAUGGGAGUCGGGGAGACAGAGCCUCCUCAUGAUGUCACGAUGUCACCUGAGCUCCUGGGUCCAGCUUGUUUCAUGAGCUGGUCCCUGCUACAACAUGGUGGAAUUAUGGGAGCUACAAUUCAAGAUGAGAUUUGGGUUCGGACACAGCCAAACCGUAUCAGCAUAGGAUUGGAAAGUCCAUCCACGUCCAUCAGUGAGAGACCAAUGCUGAGCAAAGGAAUACUGUGCAGCAUUAAGAAGAAACCAGUUGGAUCUUCAUGUUCUGAUAUAUUGAUAUAUACAACUAAGAUGCACUGAUAAAUGAGAACAGGCAACAGAAGGCGUGUACAGUGGCUGUCCGUGCUUGCACUGAAUGCAUUCCCCUACACAUACAUGGAUUGUCCCCUUGACAGUAAGAAAGAAACAGUGGCUGCUUCUGGGGAAGACACUGGGGGACUACUUACUGAAUGCUAUUUGGUACAGCUGGAAAGUUCUACAGUGUGCAUGCAAAAGAAAACUGUUCUCACGUUCGUGUCUAAAAAGCUCCCGGGUGAAUCCGGUGCGCAUCCAGGCUUGGUAACUACUAGGUGAGACGAUUCAUUGCCACCCUCCCUCGCCCUAGGAUCUUUCAACUCUAAAGCUCAGGUCCUGGGAUUAGUGAACAAACAUAUGUGUUAGUAGUGGGUAAACUGUAGGGGCCACCAGAAGUGAAGUGUCACCAAUCAGUGAUUCAGUCUGGAAAGGUAACAGUGAUGGGAAUAAGUGCUGUGGUCAUUGUGUACAUUUCAUUGUGUACAUUUCAUAAAUCCUAGCCCCUGGCCAGUGGAAACCAAGCCAGGGCUGUAUUUGACUCCUUGCAACCGUUGGCCGCCCCUGCUUUUUCAGGAGAAGGAAGGGGGUGUAUAAUGUGACACAUCAGCAAGUCAGAACAGAGAGUACCUGUGGAAUGGGUCCUGCCAGGCCUCUGUGCCCUUUUACACAUGAUGUCUUCAAGCUUCCGGUUAGUGACUGCUAACUCUCAACUCAGCCAGCAUUGAACCGGGCACCUUCAUGGGCACUGAUCCUCUGAAUCUCACACCACCAUAUCAUCCCCAUUGUACAGACAGGAAAACUGAGGCUCAGGGGUCACGUCACUCACUUUUUACCUAGAUCCUUCUGACUACAGAGCCCGCCUGCAUCCCACUAUAUGAAUGACCUGAGUGGGCUCUGCGGCAGUGGGGCCUGUUGCCCUGGGGUCCUGUGUUUCCAGCACUCUUUGCCAACUUCACCUGUCUCAGAGCCCUCAGGGAUCCAGCACCAUGGGGUUUACUUUCCCAGGUUCUCUCUGCCCCAAGUUCAGUCACUCCAGCCCAGUGUGGGGGCAGAGAUGUGGCAGAAUGAGGGCACCUUAUGGCCCCUUGAUUCGGAGGGACUCAGUGUGCGACCUUGGCAAGCACCUGAUCCUCCUUGGGCCUCGGUUUUUCCGCGAAUGCGACGGGAAUAAGAACAGUGUCUGCUGCAGGGGUCUCAUGGGGUAUCUAGUGGAAGGUGCACUGCAUUUGCUGGCACUGAGCUUGGUGCUGAGUAAAGGCUUCAUGGAUGUUUGCAGUAAUUCCUGAAAUUAAUGUUCAGGUUGUAAGUUUGCUGUAACACCAGUUAACCCUUCACUCUUUACCCCUAGCUGGUAGAAUAGUGCCUGGUACAUAGUAGGUGCUUAGUAAAUAUUUUUUGCUGAAUGAACAAAUGAACCAUUGACCUGCUGACUGGAGCUACUGCUGACAUACUGGGUGACUUUGGGCUGGUCCAGUCCUCUCACCGAGCUUCAGUUUCUGCAUCUCCCAGUGGGUGGGACCGUUUUGCCAGGCCUCAACCCACCUAGCCCAUUUCUCUUCUGCAGCAGCCUUCAGGGAUCCAUGAGCAGCUCACAGAAAGUUGCCCUUCUGUUUCCCUGAUUAUUAACCUGCAAAUUAGACAAAUCCAUUUUGGAGUGUUCAGCGUUGCCAUGGUAUCACAACGGCUUCCGCUCCCUCUCCCAGGCAGCAGAGAAGUCUCUUCCUCUUCCCUGCCCCCUACAUCCACCCCGCCCGGGAGGCAGCCCAUUGGCCUUAAAGGGCCAGUUCUGUAAGCUCCAGAGAAAGAUGCUUGCUGAAAUCACAGAAUGGAUGUUGCCUCCUGGCAAGGCGUUCAUUUGGUCACCCUUUGGGGAGGCAAAUUGUAGCUAGGAGCUGUGGAGUCAGGGUUCCCCAAGGAAGUGGAGGCUCUCCCCAAUUGCAAGUAGUGACUAGCCCUACAUUUGGAAGGCUGAACCUCAUGCUACCUGUCCCAUCCUCAUAACAAGAUGACCCCAGAAACAGGCCUGGUGGGAAAUGGAGUGAGCUCCAAAUGGGCCCAUUGACCAGAGGAACCUGGUUCAGCAAAAAGCCAGAGCAUCACAGACAUUAGGCCACUCCUGUGGGGCAUCACUUAACGUUGUUUAAAACUCCAGAUUUAAAUUAAGUCACGGUUGCCCUCAGAGGCCACUGCCGUGGGCCUUGGGGACAGAAGUUCUUAAAGGCACUGCCAUGGUAAGAGGGAAGGGCCAAAACUUUGUAUAAGUAACAAAGGUUCUGGCAAAGGUUAAUAAAUAAUCAUUGAAUGCCAGGUAUCGGCAUUACGGAAUUAAACCGUCUUAAUUGGCAUUGUCUCUGCUAGGAGAGACCCUGACAUAUGUAUGUUUUCAAAGUGUGGUGUCUGUUCAUCUUCUGUCUCUAAACAGACAAAAGCUCCCUGAGGGCAUGGUUGGCUUCUCUUAAUUCAGUGUCAUCUGCACUCUGCCACAGCACUAAGCACCUGGCUGCCCAGUCACUCUGGGUUCAUCGACUCUUAGAGAACGCCAUGGGAAGAGUAUAGGCUUACCAGUCCGACAGACUGGGUGGAAACUGCGGUAAAGAAAACUUAGGUUCUGUCUGUUAAUAGCUGUGCCUUAAGCAAGGUAUAAGUGAGGGUUCAAUGAGGGAAGAGGCCACUAGAAUGAGUGGAAUAAGGGACUUGUUAUUGGAAUUUGACCUUUCACAGUGUGGGAGAAGGAAGGUCUGGAUUACAGAGUGGAUGGUCCGAGGGGACAAGGGCCAGUCGAUCUGGAAGCCACGUGGGGAAGUUGAAGGAGGAGAAUCCAGGAAGCUUCUGCCACUGAGCAUCUGGGCUGGACACAGGGCAGAAGGAGGCAAAGGCCCAUGGAAACCCACUGGCGUCUCUGCAACCUGCUGCCACCACAUCCAAUGAGGCUGGCCUGAGAGUGAAGGCUGCUGCUCCCCCACCUCUGGAUUCUCAUGCCUCUUUUGGCCAGCUCAGACCCAGAGCUGUACUGGGGAAUGGGAUUCUGAACAACACAGCUCCAACCUGUCCACAUCAACACAGCACAGACCAACAUGGCCAAGUGUUAGGCCCUUCUGAGCCUCGGUUUCCUCGACCCAGCCGAUACCUUGCUAAUUUAUUUGAGUUCAUUGUAGAUUCUGGAUAAAUCCAGCAUCCCUUUAUGAUUAAAACUCUCACCAAAAUCUGUAUACAAGGGACAUACCUUAAUGUAAUAAAAACCAUCUAACCCAUAGCCAACAUAAUACUGAAUGGGGGAAAGCUGAAAGCAUUCCAUCUGAGAACUGGAACAAGACAAGGAUGUCCACUCUCACCACUUCUAUUCAACAUAGUAGUGGAAGUCCCAGCCAAAGCAAUCAGACAAGAGAAAGAAAUAAAGGGCAUCCAAACUGGUAAAGACAAAGUCAAACUGUCACUGUGUGCUGAUGAUAUGACUGUAUAGCUAGAAAACCCUCAAGACUCCUCCAGAAAGCUCCUAGAACUGAUAAAAUAAUUCAGCAAAGUUUUAGGACACAAAAUUAAAGUACACAAAUCAGUGGCUCUCCUGUGCACCAACAGUGGUUACUCUGAAAAUUAAAUCAAGAACACAACUCCUUUUACAAUAGCUGCAAUAAAUAAAUAAAUAAAUAAAUAAAUAAAUAAAUAAAACACUUAGAAAUAUACCUAACCAAGGAGGUGAAAGACCUCUAGAAAAAAAUCUACAAAACACUGCUGAAAAAAAUCACAGAUGACAUCCCAUGCUCAUGGAUGGGUAGGAUCA
RNAcentral lists this long non-coding RNA (4336 nucleotides) under Homo sapiens (human). RNAcentral's name for it is "HSALNT0098024". Lineage: Eukaryota; Metazoa; Chordata; Mammalia; Primates; Hominidae. The record is from RNAcentral.